UACAGCUUUGUGGGAAAAGGACUCAAAUCAACUUUUGCAUCAUUUCUACAGCCAGAACCAGCUGCAUUUGGAACUAACUGCCUCUCAUUUGUUUACAAGAUGUUGAGAUUAUCCUGGAUUAUUUGAGUGGGCCCUAAGUGCAACCUAUGUAUCCUCAUAAGAAGGAGAUCUGACACAGAAGAAGAGGAGAAGGCAACAGGACCAAAGAGGCAGAGGCAGAGAUUUGAAGGAUGUGACCAUAAGGCUAAGAGUGUUGGCUGCUACCAAAGCUGCGCGAGCCCCCUGAAAUCUUCAGAUCUACAAUACUUUGAUAUGCUCCAUUCCUGAACAUCUAGUAGAUGUCUUCAGAAACCACCGGAGGCAUCCACAUCUCUAGCAGAGCUGCAACAAUGACAGAAUCUAUACUAGUUCAGGAAAGCAAGGCACUUGCCUCUGAGGACAAAAAGGAAGGGGCAUCAAAAAGCCUCAUUAACCAAGAUAACUUCACCAACAACUGCCUGGAGACCAACAUCAUCUGUCCCAGAUAAGGUUCUUGAUUUCACACAGCAGAAACUAGCCUUGUUGCCUUUAGCAAAUAAAGGAAUUUAUAAGGACAUGGGAGCCAACAGAAUGCACUGAAGACUGCAGGAGCAAGCUUGGAAAAUAAGCAAAAACCAAAGAUUUCCUGGAGGCUAGGCUGGAGGAGGAAUGUGGCCUGAUGAGGCCAUGGCUGCUGCCUCUGACUACUAUAGGACGUUGUUGCUGGAUAUCGACUACCAAUGAACAAGUGUGGUAAUAAGCCUCCAAAAUAGUACCUGAUGAUCUUCACUCUCAAGUUCACACACCC
This 826-nucleotide long non-coding RNA is filed under the name Heterocephalus glaber (naked mole-rat). RNAcentral describes it as "lncRNA (ENSHGLG00000035787.1)". Lineage: Eukaryota; Metazoa; Chordata; Mammalia; Rodentia; Bathyergidae. The record is from RNAcentral.